AAUUAAAUACAUCAAUGCUAAGCAUUCUUCCCUUGACAAGGGAAAAAAAGAUAUAAGCAUGAAAAUUGUGACCGGAGCCUCAACCUCAGAUACAUAUAUUCAAAUACCAAACGAAGAAAAAAACAGGUUUCAACAUGAUCUCCACUAACAUUACAAGUUUAGUUCACAUUCAUACAUUCCCAGGGAAUGUGAGUUUAUAAAAGCCAACAAGAACAUUAAUAUUUAUACUUGCCAGCCAACAAAGAACACAUUUUGUUUGCAAGGGACAAGCUCAGUUCCAGUGAAAUAGAGCAAGAGUGACAUUUUCCAAUGAAUUUAAGGGCAGAAGUUCAGGCAGGAAGAUACAAGGAUGGAGAAAUUUCACCAACUUCUUAAUUAUUGGCAUGACGGCCAAGAACCAUUAAAGUCUUAAAAG
This is a long non-coding RNA of Rhododendron vialii, 415 nucleotides long. RefSeq lists it as uncharacterized. The record is from RefSeq and is a predicted model, not a curated record. The transcript is spliced from 2 exons. Lineage: Eukaryota; Viridiplantae; Streptophyta; Magnoliopsida; Ericales; Ericaceae.